This 2002-nucleotide long non-coding RNA is filed under the name Sus scrofa (pig). RNAcentral describes it as "lncRNA (ENSSSCG00060059480.1)". The record is from RNAcentral. Lineage: Eukaryota; Metazoa; Chordata; Mammalia; Artiodactyla; Suidae.
AAAAUAUUGUCAUCAUCCAAAAAAGAAGUUCUGUACCCAUAGCAGUAAGACCCCAUUCCAACUCCCCCCUCCAAAAUCCUUCCAUAGCCGUAGGUGAUGACUAAUCUACUUUCACUUAGUGUAUUUUCAAGACUUGUGUAUGUUGUAGCAUGUCAGUGCUUCAUUUCUUUUUAAUGCUGAAUAAUAUUACAUUGUACUUAUCCAUGUAUCAUUUGAUGGGCAUUUGAGUUUCCACUUUAGGGUUAUUGCGACUAAUUUGUCUAUGAACAUUUGUGUACAAGAUUGUAUAAGAACAUAUAUUUUUAUUUAUUUUGGGUAUGGAAUUUCAAAUCGUAUGGUAUCUCUUUGACAUUUUAAGGAAAAGUCAAACUCUUCUCAUUGGUACAAAAUUUUUCCACAAAAGUGAUUAUAUAAACUGUAAUUAUUUAAUUAUUUUUAAAGUGUGUCUUGGUCACAGAGACUUGACCUUAUUCAUAUUUAUUCUUAGCAAUGCUUGUUUAUUAAUCAUAAUUACAACUACACCCUCAAAAUAUUUCUUGGCUCAAACCAACUUUCCCUUCUCAAUUUUCAUCAUUUUGUGCUUUUGGUGGUUAAUAUUUACUUCCAACUAUUUACUUCUAGGAAGCAUCUCAGAAUCAUACACUGCUUAUAACCAAGAAGCAGAUUGGUUAGAAAAAAAAAAUCUUUAAAUUAGAAUUUUAAGAACAUCAAGCAGUCUGACAUUUUUUUCACAUAGUAGAUAACUUUUGACUAGAUUAUAGACACAGAUUAAAUUCAGGUGAUUCAUAUAAUUAAGGACAUUAGAAAGAGCUUUGCUCUCUCAAAUUAGCCUACUCUGUGCAUGGAAAACACACUGGUCUCCUUUAGUCUUGAAGGGUACAUGUGCAUCUUAAUAACCAUAAGGAGAUUAAUUUUCUAUAUUACACUCUUAAGCAUUACGCUUUUAAAUUCUGUUUUAUGUGGUGUAUUCAAACGAAAUAUGAAAAAUAGAAGCCUUGAAAUUAAGAAUUUUAAAUACCCCCAUUUCCUUCCCAAGUAACAAACUGGCUAUAAAAGCAAGUCUCUGUAUUAAUUUGCAAAUGAACAAGGACUUUAGAGUUCUAUCCACAUUGGUCCCAGGCUGCUGUUGUAUUAAUUAUUAGAUAGAUUAACUACACAUUGAGCUGGCACUUUUCAUUAAACAGCUGCUAAAACAUGAGGGAUGAACAAUGCCGUGUGCUUUAGCUUCAGAUGCAUGUACCCUGAGGCCAUUUAAUAUGCCUUAAUAAGCUUCAGUUUUCCAUGCAGACAAAUUUCUCUUCAUUGGUGAGUGUUCUGAGACACCAUAGGUUGGGAUGUGUCAGAGAAUGUUCUCAGCUUUCAAAGAACAAAUGUCAAAUAAUCGUACCUGCUUAAAUUUCUAAAUUCAUAUUAAAGAAUUUUAAUUAGAUUUAAGCAAUGAAAGUAGAGACAAUAACACACUAUAAUAUCAAAACCAAUAAAUGUAAGUAGUAAAGGCCAAAUGAGGUCAUAAAGGUGCCUGAUCCAAUGGGGUUUACAUCCUCAUAAGAAGUAAUACCAGAAUGCUCUCUUUCUCCACAUGCACACACCCCAAAAAGAACACACGAGGACAUUUUGAGAAAGAGGCCAUCUGCAACCACAGAGAGAGCUCUCACCAGGCACUAAAGCAGCUAAAAACUUGACCUUGGAUUUCUAGCCUCCAGAGCUGUGAAAAUACAAAUUUAUGUUGUUUAAGACAUACAGUCNAUUCUCGUCAUGGCUUGGUGGUUAACGAAUCCAACUAGGAACAAAGAGGUUGUGGGUUCGAUCCCUGGUCUUGCUCAGUGGGUUAAGGAUCCAGCAUUGCCAUGAGCUGAGCUGUGGUGUAGGUCGCAGACACAGCUCAGAUCACACAUUGCUGUGGCUGUUGUGUAGGCCGGCGGCUACAGCUCUCAUUAGACCCCUAGCCUGGGAACCUCCAUAUGCCACGAGUGUGGCCCUAGAAAAGACAAAAAAAAAAACA